Long non-coding RNA from Felis catus (domestic cat), 735 nucleotides. RefSeq lists it as uncharacterized. NCBI's taxonomy places the organism in Eukaryota, Metazoa, Chordata, Mammalia, Carnivora, Felidae. The record is from RefSeq and is a predicted model, not a curated record. The transcript is spliced from 2 exons.
CAAACGCACACACUCCCACAGCUGGGGGUGAAGCGGGUUGGACACCCCCCACCCCGAAAGGGAACCACUGCUCGGUCUCUUGGCUGGUCUGUGGGUCUGCCAACACCUUCUGGUAAGGGCAGGAUGUGGGAAGGCGGGGACAUCUGGCGCUCCAGGCACCAGCCCCGUCGGGAAAAGAGACCUUCAACAGAGGAACUGAGGGGGAACAGCUUUCUUCGAAUCCCACCCGCUGACGUUCUGAGGGUCUUACAGCUGGAAAGCGCAGGGGCCACCCGGAGCCAUCUCUUGUCUGACGGAACAGCUCAGGGUCUCCCGUCCACUCUGCACUCCGCCCUCUGCCGUGACUCAGCUCCUCUCUCCGGCCUGGGAUCCCAGCCAGAAUGAAUCCCGGCUUCCUCUCCCGCCAAGGGACAGGGAGCACCCCUUCCCCGCCCGGCUCCUCCUUCCCAAACUCUGUCCUCUUGCAAGACCCCCUCACAGCCCGGCCCCAGGUUGGGACCCAGGUUGGGAAGGGAACCGGGUAGGCCACCCAAGGUCAGCGUGCGCCUCCCUCCGGCUGCAAACACGUGUGUCAGGCCUUGGCCAACUCUGAGGUAACAGCCCUGCCUUUCCCAGGGCCUCCCCGCGCCCCCAGCACAGGCCUUCUCCCCAACACAGCCCUCGCCACUGUCCUCAAAGGGGAGGCGUCCCAACAAAGUGUCCUUUCCUACUAGCAAUAAACACAGCAGAGGCCAA